UACGUAGGGAGCAAGCGUUGUUCGGAUUUACUGGGCGUAAAGGGCGCGUAGGCGGCGCGGUAAGUCACUUGUGAAAUCUCUGAGCUUAACUCAGAACGGCCAAGUGAUACUGCAGUGCUAGAGUGCAGAAAGGGCAAUCGGAAUUCUUGGUGUAGCGGUGAAAUGCGUAGAUAUCGGGAGGAACACCAGUGGCGAAGGCGACUACCUGGCCCAUUCUUGACGCUGAGGCGCGAAAGCUAGGGGAGCGAACGGG
RNAcentral lists this ribosomal RNA (253 nucleotides) under uncultured bacterium. Its description in RNAcentral is "partial 16S ribosomal RNA". It matches the Rfam family "Bacterial small subunit ribosomal RNA", at positions 524 to 776 of the family's 1533-position model. The record is from RNAcentral.